This 450-nucleotide ribosomal RNA is filed under the name uncultured bacterium. RNAcentral describes it as "partial 16S ribosomal RNA". It matches the Rfam family "Bacterial small subunit ribosomal RNA", at positions 354 to 796 of the family's 1533-position model. The record is from RNAcentral.
GUAGGGAAUCUUCCACAAUGGACGAAAGUCUGAUGGAGCAACGCCGCGUGAGUGAAGAAGGUCUUCGGAUCGUAAAACUCUGUUGUUAGAGAAGAACGUGCAUGAUAGUAACUGAUCAUGUAAUGACGGUAUCUAACCAGAAAGCCACGGCUAACUACGUGCCAGCAGCCGCGGUAAUACGUAGGUGGCAAGCGUUGUCCGGAUUUAUUGGGCGUAAAGGGAACGCAGGCGGAUUUUUAAGUCUGAUGUGAAAGCCUUCGGCUUAACCGAAGAAUAGCAUUAGAAACUGGAAGACUUGAGUGCAGAAGAGGAGGGUGGAAUUACAUGUGUAGCGGUGAAAUGCGUAGAUAUAUGGAGGAACCCCAGUGGCGAAAGCGGCUCUCUGGUCUGUAACUGACGCUGAGGUUCGAAAGCGUGGGUAGCAAACAGGAUUAGAAACCCGGGUAGUCC